Molecule: ribosomal RNA, 253 nt
Filed under: uncultured bacterium
Lineage: Bacteria
Description: partial 16S ribosomal RNA
Rfam family: Bacterial small subunit ribosomal RNA
Source: RNAcentral
UACGUAGGGCGCAAGCGUUGUCCGGAAUUAUUGGGCGUAAAGAGCUCGUAGGCGGUCUGUUACGUCCGCUGUGAAAACCCAGGGCUUAACCCUGGGCUUGCAGUGGAUACGGGUAGACUAGAGGCAGGUAGGGGAGAAUGGAAUUCCCGGUGUAGCAGUGAAAUGCGCAGAUAUCGGGAGGAACACCGGUGGCGAAGGCGGUUCUCUGGGCCUGACCUGACGCUGAGGAGCGAAAGCGUGGGGAGCGAACAGG